RNAcentral lists this unclassified non-coding RNA (334 nucleotides) under Hevea brasiliensis (rubber tree). The record is from RNAcentral. Lineage: Eukaryota; Viridiplantae; Streptophyta; Magnoliopsida; Malpighiales; Euphorbiaceae.
ACCAUUUUUAGUUUAGAUGUUUCUAUAUUUGCUCAUAUUUACUAACCCUAAACCGAAUUGAAUCCAAAUUUACUUUGCUUCGCCUGCACCAUGUCUUCACCGUUCAUUUUAAUGGCUUCCAUUUCUUUUCUACACUGAAUCGUUUAGAAGCUCUAGGGUUUUUGAGAAUUGAAAUUUUGGGAUUUUUUUUUUGCAACUCCACUCUCUAGCCUCUAAUCUCUCCUUCUCUUGCAGAAACCUAGUCGGUAACUACAAGUCUUCCAUUUCAGGUGGUGUUUUGAUGCAGCAUGUUUGUUUGUCGUUCCCAAGAAUUGCACUUGAUUUCUAUCAUGCA